GGGAGGAGCCUUGAAACCGACGCCGAACUUUCCUGCGUGACAGUUGGAGAGAGGAGACUGGACUGGAUGCACCUUUGCUUGGAUCAACAUGACAGUAAUCAUGUUCUUACAAAUUUCAGAGUGUAUUUCUUAAAGCACAGGCAGUCUUCCUUGCCAACGAAAGACAAUCUUCCAUUCUAAAAGAAACAAAAAUUUGGGCAUUAAAUAAUAAUAAACAGGAAUUUCAGCUUUUGCUUCAAAACAAUAUGGAGAUGUAACUAGGUAUAGUAGCCAUUAGGAGAACUUAGGACUCUGGUUGGUAGGCAGAGUAUGAGAUUUGGCCUCUUACAUUCUUUAUGUACCAAUACUAUCCUUAGAGUGCUGGUUUAUGCUUGCUUUACUUGUUAUGGGAGAUGGGGGAUUGUCUGAAAAAAAAAGUAGUUGUGAAAAUCUUUAAUUUUGUAAAGAAACAAAGCAAAAAGUCAUCACAGAAUUUUCUUGUUUUCUUCUAUGUGACUGGCAGAAAUAGGAUAGAGUGAAUGCUUCCAUUCCACAACACUUAAGGAAAACUUGUUUCCCUAGAGUAAAUUAUUCAGCUUUAUCUCACACACCUAUGUUACAUACAGAGAAUCCAAAUGUAAGCACAAAUGUGUAUGUGGGAAGGUUAGAGAGCACCCAAAUGAAUAAAAUUUAAACUGAGAUGAUAACCUAAAUUAUGUCUGUCCACCAAAUUAAAGCAAAAUUUAUGCUUAAAUAAUUAUGUUUUUAGUUGAUUCAAGGUUUCAUUAUUUAGAUGGCAAAUAAAGGGUUAAAAGUAAGAUAAUCAUAAUUCAGUGGGAUAAGUUAAACGUUGAUUUUUGUCUCAUUUUGUUGAGCAUGAAUCUUGGCUGCUAAGAACAGUUAAUAUUUUUUGUGUGCAUAGCAAUUAGUUCUGUAUGGAAAGAGAGGAUUUUUGGGACUUGGGUAGAUAGAGGGAUUAAAAUAUGUAAUCUGUGAUGGGCAACAAUGUGUAUAAUAAAUGAAUGAAGUUUCUUGG
Lonchura striata (white-rumped munia) is the source of this 1015-nucleotide non-coding RNA. The record is from RefSeq and is a predicted model, not a curated record. NCBI's taxonomy places the organism in Eukaryota, Metazoa, Chordata, Aves, Passeriformes, Estrildidae.